GUGAUGGCCUACCAAGGCUUUGACGGGUAACCGGCCUGAGAGGGUGACCGGUCACAUUGGGACUGAGAUACGGCCCAGACUCCUACGGGAGGCAGCAGUGGGGAAUUUUGCACAAUGGGCGAAAGCCUGAUGCAGCGACGCCGCGUGAGGGAUGACGGCCUUCGGGUUGUAAACCUCUUUCGCUCAUGGUCAAGGCUAGUUGUUGUUCUAGUUGAGGGUAGUGGGUAAAGAAGCGCCGGCUAACUACGUGCCAGCAGCCGCGGUAAUACGUAGGGCGCGAGCGUUGUCCGGAAUUAUUGGGCGUAAAGGGCUUGUAGGCGGCUUGUCGCGUCUGCCGUGAAAACCCAUAGCUUAACUGUGGGCUUGCGGUGGGUACGGGCUGGCUUGAGUGCGGUAGGGGAGACUGGAAUUCCUGGUGUAGCGGUGGAAUGCGCAGAUAUCAGGAGGAACACCGGUGGCGAAGGCGGGUCUCUGGGCCGUUACUGACGCUGAGGAGCGAAAGCGUGGGGAGCGAACAGGAUUAGAUACCCUGGUAGUCCACGCUGUAAACGUUGGGCACUAGGUGUGGGGGCCGCCCUUGGUUUCUGCGCCGUAGCUAACGCUUUAAGUGCCCCGCCUGGGGAGUACGGCCGCAAGGCUAAAACUCAAAGGAAUUGACGGGGGCCCGCACAAGCGGCGGAGCAUGCGGAUUAAUUCGAUGCAACGCGAAGAACCUUACCAAGGCUUGACAUGCACCGCGACACUGCAGAGAUGUGGUGGCCUUCGGGGUGGUGUGCAGGUGGUGCAUGGUUGUCGUCAGCUCGUGUCGUGAGAUGUUGGGUUAAGUCCCGCAACGAGCGCAACCCUUGCCCUAUGUUGCCAGCACGUGAUGGUGGGGACUCGUGGGGGACUGCCGGGGUUAACUCGGAGGAAGGUGGGGAUGACGUCAAAUCAUCAUGCCCCUUAUGUCUUGGGCUUCACGCAUGCUACAAUGGCUGGUACAGAGGGUUGCGAUACUGUGAGGUGGAGCGAAUCCCUUAAAGCUGGUCUCAGUUCGGAUUGGGGUCUGCAACUCGACCCCAUGAAGGUGGAGUCGCUAGUAAUCGCAGAUCAGCAACGCUGCGGUGAAUACGUUCUCGGGCCUUGUACACACCGCCCGUCACGUCACGAAAGUUGGUAACACCCGAAGCUCAUGGCCUAACCGUUUU
This 1187-nucleotide ribosomal RNA is filed under the name Schaalia canis. RNAcentral describes it as "bacterial SSU rRNA". It matches the Rfam family "Bacterial small subunit ribosomal RNA", at positions 257 to 1444 of the family's 1533-position model. The record is from RNAcentral. Lineage: Bacteria; Bacillati; Actinomycetota; Actinomycetes; Actinomycetales; Actinomycetaceae.